Molecule: ribosomal RNA, 485 nt
Filed under: uncultured bacterium
Lineage: Bacteria
Description: partial 16S ribosomal RNA
Rfam family: Bacterial small subunit ribosomal RNA
Source: RNAcentral
ACUCAAAUGAAUUGACGGGGGCCCGCACAAGCAGCGGAGCGUGUGGUUUAAUUCGAUGAUACGCGAAGAACCUUACCUGGGUUUGACAUAGAAGUAGUAGCAAGGUGAAAGCUGCGCGACCCUUCGGGGAGCUUCUACAGGUGCUGCAUGGCUGUCGUCAGCUCGUGUCGUGAGAUGUUGGGUUAAGUCCCGCAACGAGCGCAACCCUCGUCGUUAGUUACAAGUGUCUAACGAGACUGCUGGUUUCAAACCGGAGGAAGGUGGGGAUGACGUCAAGUCAGCAUGGUCUUUAUAUCCAGGGCUACACACACGCUACAAUGGCCGGUACAAUUGGUUGCCACACCGCAAGGUGGCGCUAAUCCUCAAAGCCGGUCUCAGUUCAGAUUGUCGUCUGCAACUCGACGGCAUGAAGGCGGAGUUGCUAGUAACCGCGCGUCAGCCAUAGUGCGGUGAAUGCGUUCCCGGGCCUUGUACACACCGCCCGU